Molecule: ribosomal RNA, 1080 nt
Filed under: uncultured bacterium
Lineage: Bacteria
Description: bacterial SSU rRNA
Rfam family: Bacterial small subunit ribosomal RNA
Source: RNAcentral
AUUGAGAGUUUGAUCCUGGCUCAGGAUGAAUGCUAGCGGCAGGCUUAAUACAUGCAAGUCGGACGGCAGCACGGGUAGCAAUACCUGGUGGCGAGUGGCGCACGGGUGCGUAACGCGUAUGCAACCUACCCUUAACUGAGACAUAACCUGGCGAAAGCUGGGCUAAUAUCUCAUGAGGUUAUAGAGGGGCAUCCUGAUAUAAUCAAAGCAGCGAUGUGGUUAAGGAUGGGCAUGCGUCCCAUUAGCUAGUUGGCGAGGUAACGGCUCACCAAGGCGACGAUGGGUAGGGGUUCUGAGAGGAAGGUCCCCCACACUGGUACUGAGACACGGACCAGACUCCUACGGGAGGCAGCAGUAAGGAAUAUUGGGCAAUGGUCGGAAGACUGACCCAGCCAUGCCGCGUGCAGGAAGAAGGCCCUAUGGGUUGUAAACUGCUUUAGCCAGGGGCUAAACCUACCGAUGCGUUGGUAGCUGAAGGUACCUGGAGAAUAAGCAUCGGCUAACUCCGUGCCAGCAGCCGCGGUAAUACGGAGGAUGCGAGCGUUAUCCGGAUUUACUGGGUUUAAAGGGUGCGCAGGCGGUUGUUUAAGUCAGGGGUGAAAGCCCUAUGCUCAACAUAGGGAUUGCCUUUGAUACUGAACGGCUAGAGUGAAGAUGGAGUGGGUGGAAUGUGUUGUGGUAGCGGUGAAAUGCAUAGAUAUAACACAGAACACCGAUCGCGAAGGCAGCUCACUAAUUUUCAACUGACGCUCAUGCACGAAAGCGUGGGGAUCAAACAGGAUUAGAUACCCUGGUAGUCCACGCUGUAAACGAUGAUCACUAGCUGUUGGUACGCUGAAGUAUCAGUGGCUAAGCGAAAGUGAUAAGUGAUCCACCUGGGAAGUACGACCGCAAGGUUGAAACUCAAAGGAAUUGACGGGGGCCCGCACAAGCGGAGGAGCAUGUGGUUUAAUUCGAUGAUACGCGAGGAACCUUACCAGGGCUCGAACGCAGGGGGGAUAUACCUGAAAGGGUAUAGCCGGCGAUGGUCCCCUGCAAGGUGCUUCAUGGUUGUCCUCACCUCCUGCCGUGAGGUGUCAG